GAUGAACGCUGGCGGCGUGCCUAAUACAUGCAAGUCGAGCGAACGGACGAGAAGCUUGCUUCUCUGAUGUUAGCGGCGGACGGGUGAGUAACACGUGGAUAACCUACCUAUAAGACUGGGAUAACUUCGGGAAACCGGAGCUAAUACCGGAUGAUAUUUUGAACCGCAUGGUUCAAAAGUGAAAGACGGUCUUGCUGUCACUUAUAGAUGGAUCCGCGCUGCAUUAGCUAGUUGGUAAGGUAACGGCUUACCGAGGCAACGAUGCAUAGCCGACCUGAGAGGGUGAUCGGUCACACUGGAACUGAGACACGGUCCAGACUCCUACGGGAGGCAGCAGUAGGGAAUCUUCCGCAAUGGGCGAAAGCCUGACGGAGCAACGCCGCGUGAGUGAUGAAGGUCUUCGGAUCGUAAAACUCUGUUAUUAGGGAAGAACAUAUGUGUAAGUAACUGUGCACAUCUUGACGGUACCUAAUCAGAAAGCCACGGCUAACUACGUG
This 497-nucleotide ribosomal RNA is filed under the name uncultured bacterium. RNAcentral describes it as "partial 16S ribosomal RNA". It matches the Rfam family "Bacterial small subunit ribosomal RNA", at positions 28 to 507 of the family's 1533-position model. The record is from RNAcentral.